Molecule: ribosomal RNA, 144 nt
Filed under: Haptophyta sp.
Lineage: Eukaryota; Haptophyta
Description: partial small subunit ribosomal RNA
Rfam family: Eukaryotic small subunit ribosomal RNA
Source: RNAcentral
AGUUGGUGGAGUGAUUUGUCUGGUUAAUUCCGUUAACGAACGAGACCGUUGCCUAUUAAAUAGUGACGCGAACACUUCGUUCGCGGCGCACUUCUUAGAGGGACAACUUGUUUUCAACAAGUGGAAGUUAGCGGCAAUAACAGG